GCGGCGGGUACGGCAGCUUGCGGCCGGCGGGAUGGGUGCCCGCAGGGGCGGCCGGUGGGUGCUGGACCGGUCUGUCGUCC
RNAcentral lists this transfer RNA (80 nucleotides) under Streptomyces smaragdinus. Its description in RNAcentral is "Streptomyces sp. RB5 tRNA-Pro". The record is from RNAcentral. Lineage: Bacteria; Bacillati; Actinomycetota; Actinomycetes; Kitasatosporales; Streptomycetaceae.